This 900-nucleotide ribosomal RNA is filed under the name uncultured archaeon. RNAcentral describes it as "bacterial SSU rRNA". It matches the Rfam family "Archaeal small subunit ribosomal RNA", at positions 16 to 922 of the family's 1478-position model. The record is from RNAcentral.
GCCAGACCUGACUGCUAUCGGAUUGAUACUAAGCCAUGCGAGUCAUUGUAGCAAUACAAGGCAUACGGCUCAGUAACGCGUAGUCAACCUAACCUAUGGACGGGAAUAACCUCGGGAAACUGAGAAUAAUGCCCGAUAGAACAUUAUACCUGGAAUGGUUUAUGUUCCAAAUGAUUUAUCGCCGUAGGAUGGGACUGCGGCCUAUCAGUUUGUUGGUGAGGUAAUGGCCCACCAAGACUAUUACAGGUACGGGCUCUGAGAGGAGUAGCCCGGAGAUGGGUACUGAGACACGGACCCAGGCCCUAUGGGGCGCAGCAGGCGAGAAAACUUUGCAAUGUGCGAAAGCACGACAAGGUUAAUCCGAGUGAUUUCUGCUAAAGAAAUCUUUUGUUAGUCCUAGAAACACUAACGAAUAAGGGGUGGGCAAGUUCUGGUGUCAGCCGCCGCGGUAAAACCAGCACCUCAAGUGGUCAGGAUGAUUAUUGGGCCUAAAGCAUCCGUAGCCGGCUCUGUAAGUUUUCGGUUAAAUCUGUACGCUCAACGUACAGGCCGCCGGGAAUACUGCAAAGCUAGGGAGUGGGAGAAGUAGACGGUACUCGGUAGGAAGUGGUAAAAUGCUUUGAUCUAUCGAUGACCACCUGUGGCGAAGGCGGUCUACUAGAACACGUCCGACGGUGAGGGAUGAAAGCUGGGGGAGCAAACCGGAUUAGAUACCCGGGUAGUCCCAGCUGUAAACUAUGCAAACUCAGUGAUGCAUUGGCUUGUGGCCAAUGCAGUGCUGCAGGGAAGCCGUUAAGUUUGCCGCCUGGGAAGUACGUACGCAAGUAUGAAACUUAAAGGAAUUGGCGGGGGAGCACCACAAGGGGUGAAGCCUGCGGUUCAAUUGGAUUCAACGCCGGG